This is a long non-coding RNA of Ziziphus jujuba (common jujube), 619 nucleotides long. RefSeq lists it as uncharacterized. The record is from RefSeq and is a predicted model, not a curated record. NCBI's taxonomy places the organism in Eukaryota, Viridiplantae, Streptophyta, Magnoliopsida, Rosales, Rhamnaceae. The transcript is spliced from 2 exons.
AUGUUUCUUGAAGAAGCUUGCACCUACCAUUCUCUGGGAAAGGGUAGGGUUCUAAUUGCUUAGUUGCCACUGAUAGAAUGAUACUGUCUUUACCGUUGUGGGUUGAACUCUUUUCCAGGUUCUCAUAUUUCCUGAAAGAAUAAGAACUGUUCUGUCCAUUUGUUCUUCUCUAUUGCUUCUUUGAUUUACUAGAAAGCCCCGUACAAAGCAUCUCAUAGAUGAAGUUGUAUGAUGGUUGAUUAGAAAUUCGGAAUUGCAAGAUUCUUUGCUUUAGUUUGCUCCUUGUGUGGAGACUCAAUUGAAAUAAGAUGAAAGUAUCAUGGUUCAACCUUUUUGUUAAGGUUUUAAUUUUUGUCGUUGGUUGCCUCUCAUAUGGAACAGAGAAUGAGUUAAUCUAUAGUUUAGUAGUAACUCUCUAUUUAUCUAGUUUUUUUUUUUUUUUUUUGUAUUUUAUUUUAUUUUUUUGUGUGUAGUUUUAAUAUUGGGGUAGGGGGAUUUAUAUUCUGUUUGGCAAAGACCAUGCAGUAUUUAUGGGACUUUUUAGAAUUCAGGUUGGUUUUGGUUGUUAGUUUUAUUGUAAAUAUUGAGAUUUGAUUAAAUUGAUAGGAGGUUCAAAGUA